GGACUACACGGGUUUCUAAUCCCGUUUGCUCCCCUAGCUUUCGCGCCUCAGCGUUAGAAAAGGUCCAGUCUGUCGCUUUCGCCACCGGCGUUCCUUCUGAUAUCAACGCAUUUCACCGCUCCACCAGAAGUUCCACAGACCCCUACCUCCCUCGAGCCGGGCAGUAUCCAAGGCACUUCUACAGUUAAGCUGCAGGAUUUCACCCCGGACUUGCCCGACCGCCUACGCGCCCUUUAAGCCCAGUGAUUCCGAACAACGUUCGCACGGUUCGUCUUACCGCGGCUGCUGGCAC
This 292-nucleotide unclassified non-coding RNA is filed under the name uncultured fungus. RNAcentral's name for it is "sequence contains ITS1". The record is from RNAcentral. Lineage: Eukaryota; Fungi.